This 500-nucleotide ribosomal RNA is filed under the name uncultured bacterium. Its description in RNAcentral is "partial 16S ribosomal RNA". It matches the Rfam family "Bacterial small subunit ribosomal RNA", at positions 30 to 523 of the family's 1533-position model. The record is from RNAcentral.
AUUGAACGCUGGCGGAAUGCUUUACACAUGCAAGUCGAACGGCAGCACGGACUUCGGUCUGGUGGCGAGUGGCGAACGGGUGAGUAAUGUAUCGGAACGUGCCCAGUCGUGGGGGAUAACGUAGUGAAAAUUACGCUAAUACCGCAUACGAUCUAUGGAUGAAAUCGGGGGAUCGGAAGACCUAGCGCGAUUGGAGCGGCUGAUAUCAGAUUAGGUAGUUGGUGGGGUAAAGGCCCACCAAGCCAACGAUCUGUAGCUGGUCUGAGAGGACGACCAGCCACACUGGAACUGAGACACGGUCAAGACGCCUACGGGAGGCAGCAGUGGGGAAUUUUGGACAAUGGACGAAAGCCUGAUCCAGCCAUUCCGCGCGCAGGAUGAAGGCCCUCGGGUUGUAAACUGCUUUUGUACAGAACGAAAAGGUUUCUACUGAUACUAGGAGCUCAUGACGGUACUGUAAGAAUAAGCACCGGCUAACUACGUGCCAGCAGCCGCCGUAA